AAUAUGUCGGCGCAUCUCGCUUAGUAAUUUGGAUUGGAGAAAGUUCACACUCAAGAUUAAGAUUAAACAUCACUGCCAAAGUGACUAAUGGUAUGGUUUUUUUUAUUGGCCAUGUGUUUCUUUCAGUUUGUUGCACGAAGAAAAAAGAAAUAGACCUAGCAAGUGUAUUGUUAUGGUAUGUUCUUUAAAGAUAGAUAUAAAUAGCGUACAUUUUAAAAUAAUAAACGUAUUCUGCAUCUAUAUUGUUUAUUUAUUUUUUUAAAAUAGCUGUAACUACCAUUAAAAUAUACAUUCUAAAAUAAAAAAAUAAGAAAUAUUAAUAAAUGUAUUCUUCAUACCAAAUUUGUGCUGAAUUUUUGAAAUCUAAUCUAAAAUAGAUAUUAUGUAUUUACUUAACAAUAUAAUUUCAAACUGUUAUUUAAAAUAUAUAUUAUGUAUUAUUUAAUUAUAAAUUACUGAAAUUGUUAAUAAAUGGUUUAUGAUAUAACCCACUGAAAAUAUGGAAGAUAUAUAUUUGUCAUUAUUAUUAUAGGGGAAGUUGUUGCAAUCUCGUCCAGAAACAAAAAUUUCAUAUUUAGUUAGAAUUUACUAAAGUUGAAGGUUGUUUUCAAAUGUGUGAUAUAUAUCCUACCUUUGAAUCCAUUAAAAUACUUUGAAUCUACAAAUUAUCUUAAAAUAAAAGGUAGAGUCGAGAUUAAUAUAAUUAAACCAUGCCUAUGACAAGUUGUUCUUGGAACUACACUCUAUUUUUUACUAUAUGAACUACACUAUAAUCAAGAGCAUAUCCCAACUUAUUCCAUAUAAUAAGGAUAUUUUUAAUAAUCACUAAAAGAAAUUCGGGUUUUUUUUCACACAAAACUGCAUUAGAAAUUAGGAUGUCGGUAGAGGUCUUUUCCUCCGACGCACAAACCAUAACGCCGAGGGAGGGGACGUAUGCCGAGCACCCAUGUGGACGUUGGGAAUGCCGCAAGUACUUUCCACGUGCUAAAAUAAACGUUGGGAAAACAAAAAGAAAACUCGACGUGUACAGUGUUGCGUCAGAGAUUCCUAGAGAUAAGUCGACCUCAACCGUCAUGUGUCGGAAAAGGUCGAAUAAUUAAAUUGUACCAUUUGCCUUCUUCUGAUGCAAUGUCAGAGACGUCGGGAACAGUAUGACCAUUCCCAAUGCCAUUAGUCACGGCGUCGGCAAUGGUCAUACUUUUUUCAACGUUUUUGGUCUGUGUCGGAAGGUCCUUUGUCUUAAAAUCCAUUGCAUUUUGUGAUUUACAGAAUUGAAAGAGAAAGGAAGAGAAACCAAGAAGUUCUUUCGGUCAGUUUCUGUCGUUUGUCGUCGUCUUCCACCGCUCGCCUUCAUAUUUCGGUAAGUAUUAGUUUGAUAUUAGUUUAUUUUAUUUAUAUUUGAAUUGGAUUUAAGGAAUAAGAUUUUUGAAUUAGUUUUUAGUAUUUAGAUCUGAAUUUGAAUUAUGUCUUAGGAAUAAGAUUUUGAAUUAGAUUUUGGUAUUUGAAUUUUAAUUGUUUUUUAGAUUUAGGAAUUAAUAUAUAUAUUUAAGGGGGUUGAAUUGAAAUUUUGAAAGAGGGAGGGGUUGAAUCAAUUGAAAUGAAACUGUGGAGGUUGAAUUGAAAACAGAAGGGGGUUUAAUUGAAAAUUACAGAGGGAAGUUGAAUAGAAAAUUAAAUUGGAAAUGUUCGCAGUUCUUCGACCACAUCUUCACACUCUACGACAAUCGAACAAGCUAAUACAAUUUUCAUUGAGAAAGACUCGAGCUUUAAGAAGUUAAGCGCAUGAUUGAAGAGCAGAGAAGAAUGUCCGAGCUGUAGGCCCAACAAAUGGAAGAAAUGAAGAAGAUGAUUGAAGAAAUGACUCGGGCACAGAGAGGACCGUGAGUCGAGAACUUGCGGUAGGUAUUUUUUAACUUUAAUGUUGUUUACUUCAUAUUAUUAUUGAUAUUAGCAUUAUAUAUAUCUAAUUUACUUUUUUUUUUUCGUUGACCUGUUGAAUUAUGGCGUCCGCGAAAAAAUUUACCUUAAAUUUUUUUCAUGUAAUUUUAUCUUAACAAAUUUGAAUGUACGACAAUGAAACGUUUAUUUA
RNAcentral lists this long non-coding RNA (2089 nucleotides) under Cucumis sativus (cucumber). RNAcentral describes it as "long non-coding RNA (CSAT_LNC001586)". Lineage: Eukaryota; Viridiplantae; Streptophyta; Magnoliopsida; Cucurbitales; Cucurbitaceae. The record is from RNAcentral.